RNAcentral lists this transfer RNA (76 nucleotides) under Chloroflexota bacterium. Its description in RNAcentral is "Chloroflexi bacterium tRNA-Phe". It matches the Rfam family "tRNA". Rfam says of the family: Transfer RNA (tRNA) molecules are approximately 80 nucleotides in length. Their secondary structure includes four short double-helical elements and three loops (D, anti-codon, and T loops). The record is from RNAcentral. Lineage: Bacteria; Bacillati; Chloroflexota.
GCCGAGGUAGCUCAGUUGGUAGAGCAAUGGUCUGAAGAACCAUGUGUCGCCAGUUCGAUUCUGGCCCUCGGCACCG